ACUGAGGGCACUGCCUUAGUAACGGCGAGUGAAGCGGCAAAAGCUCAAACCCGAAAUCUGGCAUCUUCGAUGUCCGAGUUGUAAUUUGAAGAUUGAAGGUUCAUUGGGUCUUGUCUAUGUUCCUUGGAAUAGGACAUCACAGAGGGUGAGAAUCCCGUGCGAUGAGAUUCCGUAUUGUAACCUUCUUUCGACGAGUCGAAAAAAAUUGGGAAUGCAGCUCUAAGUGGGUGGUAAAUUCCAUCUAAAGCUAAAUAUUGGCGAGAGACCGAUAGCGAACAAGUACAGUGAUGGAAAGAUGAAAAGAACUUUGAAAAGAGAGUGAAAAAGUACGUGAAAUUGUUGAAAGGGAAGGAUAUGAGAUCAGACUUGGUAUUUUGCAACCUUACCUUCGUGGUGGGGCCCCUGCAGUUUACUGGGCCAGCAUCAAUUUGGAUGAUGGGAUAAUGACUCAGGAAUGUAGCUUUACUUCGGUGAAGUGUUAUAGCCUGUGUUGAUACCGUCUAUCUAGAUUGAGGACUGCGUCUUUUGACAAGGAUGCUGGCAUAAUGAUCUUAUAUCACCCGUGGCCUUGCG
Molecule: ribosomal RNA, 573 nt
Filed under: Priceomyces melissophilus
Lineage: Eukaryota; Fungi; Ascomycota; Pichiomycetes; Serinales; Debaryomycetaceae
Description: LSU rRNA
Rfam family: Eukaryotic large subunit ribosomal RNA
Source: RNAcentral